Molecule: ribosomal RNA, 171 nt
Filed under: Triticum aestivum (bread wheat)
Lineage: Eukaryota; Viridiplantae; Streptophyta; Magnoliopsida; Poales; Poaceae
Description: partial small subunit ribosomal RNA
Source: RNAcentral
CUCUCCUCCUUGUUGUUUCUUGGCGCCUGGCUUCUUUGGAAGCAUCGGAACAACAUCGUGUUCGACGACGAGGCUCCCUCUCUCCAACGUCUCCUCAGCCUCAUCAUCGGCGAGGCCCGCCUUUGGGCCGCCGUCGGAAACAUUGGCUCGGCCAACAUAUUACCUAAGUAG